Molecule: long non-coding RNA, 1130 nt
Filed under: Mus musculus (house mouse)
Lineage: Eukaryota; Metazoa; Chordata; Mammalia; Rodentia; Muridae
Description: long non-coding RNA chr17:30576299-30577429
Source: RNAcentral
GUGGCCGCGCACGCGCUCUGCGCGCUGGCGUCACUUAGCAACGGCUCAACCGUGGGCCAGUAGAACCCAGGACGCCAGGGCCCCAGGUCGCCUCAGGCGGGGGUCUUGCGGCGUGUUUCCCCAGGUCGGAGCCACUGCCCCUCCAGUACUGGGCCCUGAGGGUGUGGCCGCCCUGCCGACACCUGGCUCAGGGUGAGGCACGUCAUCACACGUCACUGAAUAGCGUCAUCGGUCGCGUCACUGCGUAAGGGGACGAGCCGGAGCGCCGGUUGGAGAAAGCCUCGUCUUUCUGCACUUAGUCGCUUGCCUGAUGGACAGUCAGCUACGUGCGAGAAGUUGGACGAGGAGAAUGGGCCAAGAGAGGCAUUACCAGCAUGAAGGUGCUACGAGGCCAGGCCUGAAAUACCACGACUCAGUUUCCUCCUUCUGUCAGUGGGAAGACGGAUACCCGACUUGCCUGCGCUAGAAAGGUGUCAACUUAGGACGAAAUAAUGCAUGCGAGGCUGCGGGCGAACUGAUCUCAUUCGAACUCCUUAUUUCAAGACCCUGACAGAAAGCCCGGACAUAAGUCCUCGACACUCCAGGACUACCAAGUGUAACGUAUAAAGCCCAUUAGACUCCAUCUUUCACAUAAGAAGCAGGCACUGUGAACUUUGAAGCCGUAGAAAUUGGGUUGUAGGUCUUUCCUGGCCGAAACUGGAGAGUCGUCACUCUUGAAAGUUACUUACCUGGGUGUGUGGGUUUGAAGAUGGAAGACUUAAUUCCAAGCAAAGACGACUUAAAUGGGCAGUGAAAAUGAACAGACACAGCAAGGGUUAGGGCUGGGCCAGUGAAGGAUCAGAGCCACAACCUAGACUCUGGCGGUGGGGAUGGAAACGCGGAGGCCAGCUCUGAGCGGGGGAAUGAAUAGGUAGGCCAGGUUUCUAGCGUGGUUGCUGAGACAGGUGGGAGUAACAUUUAGCAAGACGGAAAGAAAGCUGCCUUUGUGUGUCAGUUACUAAAUGGUAGUGACAUUCCUUACGGAUGACAUGGUAGAACGAUGGAAUGUGGAUACGUUGGUUGGGGAAACAUUCUCCGCUCUCAUCUUCCAUGUGGAACGAUAUCCAUCAAUUUAAUACAUCUACUUUCCG